Molecule: ribosomal RNA, 253 nt
Filed under: uncultured bacterium
Lineage: Bacteria
Description: partial 16S ribosomal RNA
Rfam family: Bacterial small subunit ribosomal RNA
Source: RNAcentral
UACAGAGGGUGCAAGCGUUAAUCGGAAUUACUGGGCGUAAAGCGCACGUAGGCGGUUAGUUAAGUCAGAUGUGAAAGCCCCGGGCUCAACCUGGGAAUUGCAUUUGAAACUGGAAAACUAGAGUGUGUGAGAGGGGGGUAGAAUUCCAAGUGUAGCGGUGAAAUGCGUAGAGAUUUGGAGGAAUACCAGUGGCGAAGGCGGCCCCCUGGCACAACACUGACGCUCAGGUGCGAAAGCGUGGGGAGCAAACAGG